Molecule: ribosomal RNA, 582 nt
Filed under: uncultured bacterium
Lineage: Bacteria
Description: partial 16S ribosomal RNA
Rfam family: Bacterial small subunit ribosomal RNA
Source: RNAcentral
UGGGGAAUAUUGCACAAUGGGCGCAAGCCUGAUGCAGCCAUGCCGCGUGUGUGAAGAAGGCCUUCGGGUUGUAAAGCACUUUCAGCGAGGAGGAAGGUGGUGAGCUUAAUACGCUCAUCAAUUGACGUUACUCGCAGAAGAAGCACCGGCUAACUCCGUGCCAGCAGCCGCGGUAAUACGGAGGGUGCAAGCGUUAAUCGGAAUUACUGGGCGUAAAGCGCACGCAGGCGGUUUGUUAAGUCAGAUGUGAAAUCCCCGGGCUCAACCUGGGAACUGCAUUUGAAACUGGCAAGCUAGAGUCUCGUAGAGGGGGGUAGAAUUCCAGGUGUAGCGGUGAAAUGCGUAGAGAUCUGGAGGAAUACCGGUGGCGAAGGCGGCCCCCUGGACGAAGACUGACGCUCAGGUGCGAAAGCGUGGGGCAGCAAACAGGAUUAGAUACCCUGGUAGUCCACGCUGUAAACGAUGUCGAUUUGGAGGUUGUGCCCUUGAGGCGUGGCUUCCGGAGCUAACGCGUUAAAGUCGACCGCCUGGGGAGUACGGCCGCAAGGUUAAAACUCAAAUGAAUUGACGGGGUCAUAGCUG